AGUCACCGAGGGCCGCAGAUAGGGGGCGAGUGGGCACCGGCGUGGGAGGGCAAAGUUGAGCUGACGCCUGGGCGCGGCGCGGAGCUCGGAGCGCUGGGACUGGGCACCGCCACCAGGAGCCUUGGGGCUGGAGCAGAGCGAGCGGGCGGCUACAUUGUCGGGCGAAGAGCUACGUUGUUGCGCUGGCGCGAGAGGAGACAGUAUCUCUCUCCAGUUUGGCUCCCUGUUGGACUUCGUGUGUGCUGCACAUGGCCAGACCCACCCAGGGGUCCAGUUCCCUCCUGUGAGCUGAACAAAGCUACUCCAGCAUGCGCUCAACAGGGACCUAACAUCUCAGGAGUAAGAGCAAAGAGCUGUAAAGACGACCGGGAGGGGCACGCUAGGCGGAGGCGAGCAGCACUCGGGCAGCACGGGUGGAGCCCUGCACGUCUGGUAUGGGGACCAGCCAAAGUGAAUUCUAGAAUGAAGUGUCAAGCUGUGAAGGUGAAAAC
Molecule: long non-coding RNA, 491 nt
Organism: Condylura cristata (star-nosed mole)
Lineage: Eukaryota; Metazoa; Chordata; Mammalia; Eulipotyphla; Talpidae
Exons: 3
Source: RefSeq, a predicted model, not a curated record